AACGAACGCUGGCGGCAUGCCUAACACAUGCAAGUCGAACGAGACCUUCGGGUCUAGUGGCGCACGGGUGCGUAACGCGUGGGAACCUGCCCUUAGGUUCGGAAUAACUCCCCGAAAGGGGUGCUAAUACCGGAUAAUGUCUACGGACCAAAGAUUUAUCGCCUUUGGAUGGGCCCGCGCUGAAUUAGCUAGUUGGUAGGGUAAAAGCCUACCAAGGCGACGAUCCAUAGCUGGUCUGAGAGGAUGGUCAGCCACACUGGGACUGAGACACGGCCCAGACUCCUACGGGAGGCAGCAGUGGGGAAUAUUGCACAAUGGGCGAAAGGCUGAUCCAGCAAUGCCGCGUGAGUGAUGAAGGCAUUAGGGUUGUAAAGCUCUUUUACCCGGGAUGAUAAUGACAGUACCGGGAGAAUAAGCUACGGCUAACUCCGUG
RNAcentral lists this ribosomal RNA (433 nucleotides) under uncultured bacterium. RNAcentral's name for it is "partial 16S ribosomal RNA". It matches the Rfam family "Bacterial small subunit ribosomal RNA", at positions 29 to 507 of the family's 1533-position model. The record is from RNAcentral.